Long non-coding RNA from Drosophila innubila, 270 nucleotides. RefSeq lists it as uncharacterized. The record is from RefSeq and is a predicted model, not a curated record. The transcript is spliced from 2 exons. Lineage: Eukaryota; Metazoa; Arthropoda; Insecta; Diptera; Drosophilidae.
UCGAUAUUCAUUUAAAUAUUUUCUGGCAUGUUAACUAUAAAGAAGAACACUUGAUCCUUUUAAUAUAUUUCUCAUCUUGCUGACCGUUAAGGGCAAAACAGAACAACCCUAACCAUAAGCUAGACACACAGAAAAUGAACUUGUCUCUUAAUUAAAGUUAAGACCACAAUGCAGCGGCAAAGAAAGCCGGGCCAAGUCAAAAGUGGCCAAAACAAAAUUAACAAUUAUGAAUUUAACAAGAAAUUAUAUGUAAGUGCGAGACGAGGCAAA